Molecule: ribosomal RNA, 253 nt
Filed under: uncultured bacterium
Lineage: Bacteria
Description: partial 16S ribosomal RNA
Rfam family: Bacterial small subunit ribosomal RNA
Source: RNAcentral
UACGUAGGUGGCAAGCGUUGUCCGGAUUUACUGGGCGUAAAGAGCGCGCAGGCGGUUAUUCAAGUCGCGUGUGAAAGCCCCCGGCUCAACUGGGGAGGGUCACGCGAUACUGAUCGACUCGAAGGCAGGAGAGGGUAGUGGAAUUCCCGGUGUAGUGGUGAAAUGCGUAGAUAUCGGGAGGAACACCAGUGGCGAAGGCGACUACCUGGCCUGUUCUUGACGCUGAGGCGCGAAAGCGUGGGGAGCAAACAGG